GGACUACUGGGGUAUCUAAUCCCGUUUGCUCCCCUGGCCUUCGUGCCUCAGCGUCAGGAACUCUCCAGAAACCCGCCUUCGCCACUGGUCUUCCUCACGAUAUCUACGCAUUUCACUGCUACACCGUGAAUUCCAGUUUCCUCUAGAGUCCUCUAGCACCACAGUAUCGAAUGCAGUUUCAGGGUUGAGCCCCGAGAUUUCACAUCCGACUUAUGGCGCCGCCUACGCACCCUUUACGCCCAAUGAAUCCGAACAACGCUUGGGACCUCUGUAUUACCGCGGCUGCUGGCAC
Molecule: ribosomal RNA, 292 nt
Filed under: uncultured Verrucomicrobiota bacterium
Lineage: Bacteria; Pseudomonadati; Verrucomicrobiota
Description: uncultured Verrucomicrobia bacterium partial 16S ribosomal RNA
Source: RNAcentral